CGAGAGCUAGUUUAUAAAGAACAUCUGAUUUGCAUUCAGAAAGUGAACCUCUUCGCUCUCCU
RNAcentral lists this transfer RNA (62 nucleotides) under Typosyllis sp. patternB. RNAcentral describes it as "tRNA-Ala". Lineage: Eukaryota; Metazoa; Annelida; Polychaeta; Phyllodocida; Syllidae. The record is from RNAcentral.